UCCUAAAACCAGUGAAAGAGGGCCUUCC
Molecule: small RNA, 28 nt
Filed under: Bombyx mori (domestic silkworm)
Lineage: Eukaryota; Metazoa; Arthropoda; Insecta; Lepidoptera; Bombycidae
Description: ovarian small RNA-27659
Source: RNAcentral